ACAACAAUAACAACAACCACAUCCACAACAACAACAACAACAACAACAACAACAACAACAACAACAAGAAGAAGAAUAACAACAACUACCACCACAACAACAACAACCACCAUGACCACCACCACCACCACAAGAACAACAACGAUGACGAUGACGGCGACAAUGACGUCAACAAAGACAAUGACCACAACAACAACAACAACAACAACAACAACAAUAACACAACCACAUCAAUAAUAAUAACAACAACAAAAACAACAACAACAACAAC
RNAcentral lists this long non-coding RNA (271 nucleotides) under Hordeum vulgare. Its description in RNAcentral is "long non-coding RNA (HVUL_LNC015639)". Lineage: Eukaryota; Viridiplantae; Streptophyta; Magnoliopsida; Poales; Poaceae. The record is from RNAcentral.